UCGACCCAUCAGUUUAUGUAAUGUGGGAUAUAAAAUUAUUUCAAAGGUGCUUUGCCAAUGGCUGAAAAGGCUACUUCUGUGGCAUGGCGGAUAAGCUGGCACGAGGUGCUAGGAAUCAGCCUUCUGAUAUGGUUUAUGUUGACUCAAUUCCCCCAAGGUGGCUCCACGGAAGAAGGCAAACAAAAUGACUGGUCAUAUUUAUAUCCCACAUUGGCAAAAGCACCUUUGAAAUAAUUUUAUAUCCCACAUUACCUAAACUGAUGGGUCGAAGUUCUGUCAUUCGAUUUGGCCGCACUGUCUUCGGAAUGAGACAAAUAUUGGUCAUAUUUAUUCUUUCAUCCAAUGAUCCUGUCCU
Molecule: long non-coding RNA, 355 nt
Filed under: Brassica napus (rape)
Lineage: Eukaryota; Viridiplantae; Streptophyta; Magnoliopsida; Brassicales; Brassicaceae
Description: long non-coding RNA (BNAP_LNC013902)
Source: RNAcentral